Molecule: unclassified non-coding RNA, 298 nt
Filed under: Hevea brasiliensis (rubber tree)
Lineage: Eukaryota; Viridiplantae; Streptophyta; Magnoliopsida; Malpighiales; Euphorbiaceae
Source: RNAcentral
GGAAAUUUAGGAGCCCAAUUUGAAGUAAGGACAAAUUGUUUCUAUUAGAAACAUUUGUAGUCAGUUCUAUGGUGAGGGAAGUCUGUCACUCCUACUACUGUAAGAGUGUGGAUCAAUUUGGAUAUCUCAAGACAAUGGAUGUUUUCAACUUUUGAAAUCUGAUUAUGGAGAGAGAUAUCCUUUCUGAUGCAGGUGACGACUUUCAAUACUUAUGACGUGAACAUAAUUUGCAUAGAUAGUUCUUGUCAUACAUUUCACGAGUAAGGUGGUUUUUCUAGCACCAUUGGUUAGGAAAUCA